GCCGCCGUAUCUGCGUAAGCCAGAGUGCCCUGAGUAAACAUGACCCUGGCGCCUUCUUCCGCUUCCGGGGGCUGCUGCGGCUGUCUCGCCCUCAGCGGCAAUGGCGGCUCCCUGCGCGCUGUGGUUCGGGGACCAGGCGGAGCGGGUGGCCUGCCCCUACGACGCCCACCACCUUGUGCCGCCGUCGUCGCUGCAGAGGCACGCGGCGUCCUGCCGGCUCCGCAGGAUGGGCUACUCCAAGGAGGAGGAGGUGGGUGCCGCGCCGGGCCGCCGCCCGCCUGCGGGCGCUGCUUGCUGGCGGCUUGGAGAUGGUGUGUGUGCGAAGGAUGAAAUGUAUGACUCCAGCUUUUUCUAUGAGAAGCUGAAGAUACCCACUGUCACCAUGGAUAAAGAUCUACUGUUUCACAUUGUUCAGCAAGCUAGAGCUGAAAGUGCAAAAGAAGGUGUAGGCUACAGCCAAGGAUCUUACUCAUCAUUGCCUGUGGAAGUUCCUCAAAAUCACAAGCGUUUCACCUGUGACCUGACCCAAGCUGAUCGCCUUGCUCUUUAUGAUUAUGUUGUUGAUGAAACAAAGAAACAGAGGUCUCGGUCCCAAAUCACAGAAAAUGACAGUGAUCUCUUUGUGGAUUUAGCAGCAAAGAUCACUCAAGAUGAUAGUCAAAAAGGUCCAAAGUCACAUCUUGAGAUUCUGGCUGAAAUGCGAGACUACAAAAGGCGACGACAGUCAUACAGGGCUAAGAAUGUUCAUAUAACAAAGAAGUCUUACACUGAGGUGAUUCGGGAUGUGAUUGGUGUGCAUAUGGAAGAACUCAGCAAUCACUGGCAGGAGGAGAAUAGGUUGGAUAAUGCAGAAAUAUGUGAAGGCGGGAAGUCAAAAUCUUCGGGAAGAAGGGAAGACAGGCGGUCAGCUUCUGUGGAUUCACGGCAGUCUGGUGGAAGCUGUAAGGAUACUGAUCGCACAAGACAUAGGAGAGAGACCAGCAGGAGUCCAAGCAAACGAAAAAAGAGUCGUGAAAGAGGCAAAGACAGAGAUUCUCGGAGAAAAAGAGAAAGGGAAGAAGACAAGCAUCACAGCCAUAAAAGAAGAAAGUAGAAGCAAGAACAUGACAGUGGUGUUUGUCAGCUGUUUAAAAAAACUACUUCCACAGGAAGUGUUAUUACUACUGUGUGUGUGCCAAGGACACACAAUACUGGGAUUGCCUAACAAACAGCUGCGCUUGGAUACAAAAUGAAAGUCUCAGGUCUUGCCAGGAUGCAAGGUGUAGAUAUCAGCAAGUGUGCAAUACUAAUGCAUCUAAAUAAUGUUAGCUAGCUGUCUCUUGUCCAUUUGAGUGUAGGCUGACAGCAGAAACUGAGAGAAACUGUAUUACUUUGCUUUCCUGGCCUAUAAAUAACAUAUCCAAAAGGUGGAUCUGAAGCAGGGCAGUACACAUGUUCACAGACUAGGCUCAAUUACAAUUAAAAAGCAUGGAAACAACUCCCCUCCCACCUGACCUUUGUCACCUCUGGGAAUAGUGUUUCAGAAGGACUGAAAGCAGAGCUGUUUAUGGCAUAUGCCAGAGGGUAUAAUGCAGAUUUCACAGUUCUCUAGCAACCUAAGUAUCUUCAACUGCAGUUGUUGCUUUUAGUAGUUGAAAAAUGACAAAAAGACAAUUGGGGAAAGUAAUUACUUCUAUGCUCAUGUCUAAAGAAACUUAAGACCAAUGUAAUGUGGCAAAGAUUUUAUAAGCUAACUGCUCAUCAUAAAGCUCUCCAAAGAAACUAGCUGGAAGGUACCAGGUUGGCUUUUUAAACACUGGGAACAUAUCAAUUUCCUUCCAGAAGUAACUAGGAAAAGCUUCCUGCAGACUAACAUCUAAGUAUUAGAUGUUUAGAACAGUUAAGAUCUAGAAGACAUACCUUUCCUCAUCAGAAAACAAGACAUACUAUUUUGAAAUUAGUCAUUAAUUAGAAAGUCCAUCUAAGAAUGUAAAAAGAUACCUUUUAUGUUCUCAGAGGGUCCUAAUGAUAAGGAAAAAUAGGUGAUAGAGAUGCAGUCCUUCAUAUAGUUGUUUUUUUCAUCACCUCAGCCACAGGGUUCAUGUUGAGUAGUGCUUGAUAAAACUGCUUGUUUUAUAGAGCUUAUUCAUGUAGACUCAGUGGUCAAAAGACACACUGUAUUUGUGCAAGAGUCAAAAGUCAGAGCUAUGCAGAAGCAUAAUGAGAAAUGCACUCAGUGUAACAGUCCAGACUUUUCUAAGUAAAAUUUAUUUUAUUUUCCUAAAAUUAAAAUAUAGUUAGAAAGAUCCCUAGUAAAAUACAUUCUACUCAUGAAAGCUCCCAAAGUGUGGACAGAUUGGAGAACUGUAUAACCAUGCAUUCAACUAACAUCCAGUAAAACAAUUUCAGGAGUAGGAUCAAGGAAGAAAAGAGAGUGCCAGAGAAGAGGAUGAUUUCCUUUUGUCAUUUGAAUAUGUAUCUGAAUAAAGGAGGCAUAGGCCCAAAUGCAUACCAAAUGCAACUGCAUUACAGGAAAGAUCUUACUAAAUGUUACAUGAGUGGGAAAAAAAAUUCCUGAGACACUAAAGUGGUAACUUUGAUGGAAUUGUUGAGAUGAUUUCUCUUCCUGAGCAGCUUCAGUCCUGUCUUGCUGAACAGUCUACCUCAGUAAUAGAAUAUCCUGCAGUGACAAUUUUGGCAAAAUUAAUUACACAAUAUAUAAAGAUAUAAGUACUUCCUUUAAA
Molecule: RNA transcript, 2723 nt
Organism: Rhea pennata
Lineage: Eukaryota; Metazoa; Chordata; Aves; Rheiformes; Rheidae
Gene: SNRNP48
Gene name: small nuclear ribonucleoprotein U11/U12 subunit 48
Exons: 10
Source: RefSeq, a predicted model, not a curated record